ACUCCUACGGGAGGCAGCAGUCGGGAAUUUUGGGCAAUGGGCGAAAGCCUGACCCAGCAACGCCGCGUGAGGGAUGAAGGCCUUCGGGUCGUAAACCUCUGUCGGAAGGGAAGAAAGGUCACUGUUCGAAUAGGCCAGUGGCUUGACGGUACCUUCAAAGGAAGUACCGGCUAACUCCGUGCCAGCAGCCGCGGUAAUACGGAGGGUACGAGCGUUGUUCGGAAUUACUGGGCGUAAAGCGCGUGUAGGCGGCCAGGCAAGUCGGAUGUGAAAUCCCGGGGCUCAACCCCGGAACUGCACCCGAAACUGCAUGGCUCGAGUCUCGGAGGGGGUGGCGGAAUUUCCGGUGUAGAGGUGAAAUUUCGUAGAUAUCGGAAGGAACACCAGUGGCGAAGGCGGCCACCUGGACGAUGACUGACGCUGAGACGCGAAAGCGUGGGGAGCAAACAGGAUUAGAUACCCUGGUAGCGAGUAG
Molecule: ribosomal RNA, 475 nt
Filed under: uncultured bacterium
Lineage: Bacteria
Description: bacterial SSU rRNA
Rfam family: Bacterial small subunit ribosomal RNA
Source: RNAcentral